This 437-nucleotide ribosomal RNA is filed under the name uncultured Clostridium sp. RNAcentral's name for it is "partial 16S ribosomal RNA". It matches the Rfam family "Bacterial small subunit ribosomal RNA", at positions 341 to 792 of the family's 1533-position model. Lineage: Bacteria; Bacillati; Bacillota; Clostridia; Eubacteriales; Clostridiaceae. The record is from RNAcentral.
ACGGGAGGCAGCAGUGGGGGAUAUUGCACAAUGGGCGCAAGCCUGAUGCAGCAACGCCGCGUGAGGGAAGAAGGUUUUCGGAUUGUAAACCUCUGUCCUCGGUGAAGAAGACAGUGACGGUAGCCGAGAAGGAAGCCACGGCUAACUACGUGCCAGCAGCCGCGGUAAUACGUAGGUGGCGAGCGUUGUCCGGAGUUACUGGGUGUAAAGGGAGCGCAGGCGGGACAGCAAGUUGGAUGUGAAAUACCGAGGCUUAACCACGGAGCUGCAUCCAAAACGGCGGUUCUUGAGUGAAGUAGAGGUAGGCGGAAUUCCGAGUGUAGCGGUGAAAUGCGUCGAUAUUCGGAGGAACACCAGUGGCGAAGGCGGCCUACUGGGCUUUAACCGACGCUGAGGCUAGAAAGUGUGGGGAGCAAACAGGAUUAGAUACCCUGGUA